UACAGAGGGUGCAAGCGUUAAUCGGAAUUACUGGGCGUAAAGCGCGCGUAGGUGGUUUGUUAAGUUGGAUGUGAAAUCCCCGGGCUCAACCUGGGAACUGCAUUUGAAACUGCAUGGCUAGAGUAUCGAAGAGGGAAGUGGAAUUUCCGGUGUAGCGGUGAAAUGCGUAGAUAUCGGAAGGAACACCAGUGGCGAAAGCGACUUCCUG
Molecule: ribosomal RNA, 208 nt
Filed under: uncultured prokaryote
Description: partial 16S ribosomal RNA
Rfam family: Bacterial small subunit ribosomal RNA
Source: RNAcentral